AGGGGUGUAGCUCAACUGGUAGAGUAGCGGUCUCCAAAACCGUCGGUUGCGGGUUCGAGUCCUGCCACCCCUGCCA
RNAcentral lists this transfer RNA (76 nucleotides) under Bacillota bacterium. RNAcentral's name for it is "Firmicutes bacterium (anaerobic digester metagenome) tRNA-Trp". It matches the Rfam family "tRNA". Rfam says of the family: Transfer RNA (tRNA) molecules are approximately 80 nucleotides in length. Their secondary structure includes four short double-helical elements and three loops (D, anti-codon, and T loops). Further hydrogen bonds mediate the characteristic L-shaped molecular structure. tRNAs have two regions of fundamental functional importance: the anti-codon, which is responsible for specific mRNA codon recognition, and the 3' end, to which the tRNAs corresponding amino acid is attached (by aminoacyl-tRNA synthetases). tRNAs cope with the degeneracy of the genetic code in two manners: having more than one tRNA (with a specific anti-codon) for a particular amino acid; and 'wobble' base-pairing, i.e. permitting non-standard base-pairing at the 3rd anti-codon position. The record is from RNAcentral. Lineage: Bacteria; Bacillati; Bacillota.